This 77-nucleotide transfer RNA is filed under the name Candidatus Saccharimonadota bacterium. RNAcentral describes it as "tRNA-Lys". It matches the Rfam family "tRNA". From Rfam's summary of the family: Transfer RNA (tRNA) molecules are approximately 80 nucleotides in length. Their secondary structure includes four short double-helical elements and three loops (D, anti-codon, and T loops). Further hydrogen bonds mediate the characteristic L-shaped molecular structure. tRNAs have two regions of fundamental functional importance: the anti-codon, which is responsible for specific mRNA codon recognition, and the 3' end, to which the tRNAs corresponding amino acid is attached (by aminoacyl-tRNA synthetases). tRNAs cope with the degeneracy of the genetic code in two manners: having more than one tRNA (with a specific anti-codon) for a particular amino acid; and 'wobble' base-pairing, i.e. permitting non-standard base-pairing at the 3rd anti-codon position. Lineage: Bacteria; Candidatus Saccharimonadota. The record is from RNAcentral.
GGGUCAGUAGCUCAGAUGGUUAGAGCACCUGCCUCUUAAGCAGGGUGUCCUGGGUUCGAUUCCCAGCUGACCCACCA